Molecule: non-coding RNA, 489 nt
Organism: Paramormyrops kingsleyae
Lineage: Eukaryota; Metazoa; Chordata; Actinopteri; Osteoglossiformes; Mormyridae
Source: RefSeq, a predicted model, not a curated record
UCUAUUUCGUCGCGUACGAUUAGUUAGAAAGGUAGGCUGAAAAUCAUUUCUUUCUUAAAUAAAUAGUUUCAGAAUGAUCUAAAUGAGUUUCUUUUUGUUUUUGAUGAUACAAAUUAAUGUUAACAAUCGUGUUUUGAUUAUUUAUUGUUACAAACUUUUUAUCGCACUUACCACACGGAAAAGGCUAAACUACUUCGGUGUGUCCGAGCAAAGGAGACACCAAACGAAUGUGCAGGAUGGACACAGCACAGGGCUCAGAUUCUCUGGACAAGGUUGUUCGAAAAUGGAGCACAUCUUGUGAUACUUCGGAUUUAAAUUCUGAUCAGGAAUCAUGCAGGAAAUCCAAACCUAAAAAGCAAUUUGCCUUGUUGGACAGUUCUCCACUGAGGAAACGUCACUAGGCUUACUCUCAGAGCGGGAAUACUUUUAACAGAAAGAGGAAAUUAGCGUUCCUGCCACCACCACCAACACCUCCACCAGCACAUCAAC